Molecule: long non-coding RNA, 340 nt
Filed under: Nicotiana benthamiana
Lineage: Eukaryota; Viridiplantae; Streptophyta; Magnoliopsida; Solanales; Solanaceae
Description: long non-coding RNA (NBEN_LNC011911)
Source: RNAcentral
AUUUAUAUGGAAAACCGGCUGAUUUGAUAAUCCCUAUAUCGGGGAAUGGAGAUAAUGGAUUUUGGUUUAGAAUUGAGAGUGAAUCAGAAUUACAUGGGCAGAGAGUUGUGAUUCCAAAGAAUACUUACAAAGCUGUGAUGGAAAUUUAUGUGUCGUUUCACGGGGAUGAUGAGUUUUGGUACUCAAAUCCGCCUGAUUCAUAUAAUGGAAAUUUAUGUAUCGUUUCACGGGGAUGAUGAGUUUUGGUACUCUAAUCCGCCAGAUUCAUAUCUCAAGAUGAAUAAUUUGACCACAAAAAGAGGCCAUGGAGCUUAUAGGGAAGUUUUGUUAAAGAUAGAUG